GAGUGUACAACUCACCUGCCGAAGCAACUAGCCCUGAAAAUGGAUGGCGCUGAAGCGUUUUGCCUAUACCCGGCCGCCGGCGGCAAAGGGCGCGCGCCUUCGGGCGCGCGUCGCCAAGCCCCGGUGAGUAGGAGGGUCGCGACGGUGUGCGCAGAAGGGUCUGGGCGUGAGCCUGCCUGGAGCCGCCGUCGGUGCAGAUCUUGGUGGUAGUAGCAUUACGGAACCUGGUUGCGGAGCCGCAAACACGAUCCUCGUAUUGACGCGGUAACGCGAAAGACCCCAGAGAUGCCGUCUGGAGCCCCGGGAAGAGUUUUCUUUUCUGCCUGAGCGUUCGGGCUCCGUGGAAUCCUCUCGCAGGGAGAUACGGAGUGGAACGCGAAGAGCACCGCAGUUGCUGCGGUGUCCGGGGAGUCCCGUCGGCCCUUGAAAAUCUGGGUGAGGGUCAGCGUGGAGGAGUCGCACCAGCUCGUACCCAUAUCCGCAGCAGUC
Molecule: ribosomal RNA, 489 nt
Filed under: Cincticostella elongatula
Lineage: Eukaryota; Metazoa; Arthropoda; Insecta; Ephemeroptera; Ephemerellidae
Description: eukaryotic LSU rRNA
Rfam family: Eukaryotic large subunit ribosomal RNA
Source: RNAcentral